CACUGCUCUGACGGAUGCUUUUAUUAGACCAAGCCGCUGAGGACUUGAGGGUUCGCUCUCCUGUCUGACUCGUGUAAUGGUGACUCUGGAUAACCAAUUCUGACAAGCGCACGUACUUCUCUUCUGAGCGAGACGGCGCUGCCACUUUCGAGUGUCUGCCUUAUCAGCUAUCAACCGUUCGUUAUGCGCGACCGAUGGCUUUGACGGGUAACGGGGAAUCAGGGUUCGAUUCCGGAGAGGCAGCCUGAGAGACGGCUACCACGUCCAAGGACGGCAGCAGGCACGCAAAUUACCCAAUCCCAGCAAAUGGGGGAGGUAGUGACGAAAUCUAACGAUGCGGGCGCCCUUUCUGGGGCCCCGCAAUCGGAAUGGGCACUUUCUAAACAACCUGUUGAGAACCUACUGAAGGGCAAGUCUGGUGCCAGCAGCCGCGGUAAUUCCAGCUUCAGCAGCAUCUAUUAAAGUUGCUGCGGUUAAAAGGCUCGCAGUUGAAUGUCUGUAUCGAGCGCAGGUCAGGUGGACGUUGGGGCGUGGAAGUACGGGCAGUUGGAUGUCCGUGGGGCCUUCGUGCUCAACGGCUCUUUCGGCUUUUCCACACACCCCCGUCCGUGACAAGCCUCCUCGCUCGGGUACAUAACGGGAAUCGGUCAAACGGAGUGUGGUUGGAGGUUGGGGUGCGUGGCUUCGGUUGCGUGCUUCUUCUUUCGGCUGCGUUAAGCUCCAUCGGUUUCACGGUCACCUUGAGUAAAUCAGAGUGCUCAAAGCAGUCGUAGGGGCCUUGCGCCCUGUGAACAGUCUUGACGGACUGACUUGGUUUUGCAUGGCAUGUCGGAAGACGACGUCGUGUGCUGGCUCAGAGGAUAAAUCAGUGGUACAAGCCAGCCUCGACGUAAUGAUUAAAAGGGACGGUCGAGGGCAUUGGUAUUGCGAGGCGAGAGGUGAAAUUCUGUGACCCCCGCAAGACCUCCUGAAGCGAAAGCGUCUGCCAAGGACGUUUU
RNAcentral lists this ribosomal RNA (998 nucleotides) under Gammarus cf. balcanicus 1HA1. Its description in RNAcentral is "partial 18S ribosomal RNA". It matches the Rfam family "Eukaryotic small subunit ribosomal RNA", at positions 187 to 970 of the family's 1831-position model. Lineage: Eukaryota; Metazoa; Arthropoda; Malacostraca; Amphipoda; Gammaridae. The record is from RNAcentral.